Molecule: ribosomal RNA, 459 nt
Filed under: uncultured bacterium
Lineage: Bacteria
Description: partial 16S ribosomal RNA
Rfam family: Bacterial small subunit ribosomal RNA
Source: RNAcentral
CCUACGGGAUGCAGUAGUGAGGAAUAUUGGUCAAUGGCCGGGAGGCUGAACCAGCCAAGUCGCGUGAGGGAAGACGGCCCUACGGGUUGUAAACCUCUUUUGUCAGGGAGCCAGGUGCAGGUCGGGCCCUGCUGUGAGAGUACCUGAAGAACAAGCAUUGGCUAACUCCGUGCCAGCAGCCGAGGUAAUACGGGCGAUGCGGGCGUGAUCCGGAUUUAUUGGGUUUAACGGGUGCCCAGGCGGAGGCACAAGUCAGCGGUAAAAUCGCGGGGCUCAACCCCGCUCCGCCGUUGAAACUGUGGCCCUUGAGUGCGCGAAGGGUAGGCGGAAUGCGUGGUGUAGCGGUGAAAUGCAUAGAUAUCACGCAGAACUCCGAGCGCGAAGGCAGCCUACCGGCGCGCAACUGACGCUCAUGCACGAAAGCGUGGGUAUCGAACAGGAUUAGAUACCCGGGUAGUC